GUCGAGCGAACAGAUAAGGAGCUUGCUCCUUUGACGUUAGCGGCGGACGGGUGAGUAACACGUGGAUAACCUACCUAUAAGACUGGGAUAACUUCGGGAAACCGGAGCUAAUACCGGAUAACAUAUUGAACCGCAUGGUUCAAUAGUGAAAGGCGGCUUUGCUGUCACUUAUAGAUGGAUCCGCGCCGUAUUAGCUAGUUGGUAAGGUAACGGCUUACCAAGGCAACGAUACGUAGCCGACCUGAGAGGGUGAUCGGCCACACUGGAACUGAGACACGGUCCAGACUCCUACGGGAGGCAGCAGUAGGGAAUCUUCCGCAAUGGGCGAAAGCCUGACGGAGCAACGCCGCGUGAGUGAUGAAGGUCUUCGGAUCGUAAAACUCUGUUAUCAGGGAAGAACAAAUGUGUAAGUAACUGUGCACAUCUUGACGGUACCUGAUCAGAAAGCCACGGCUAACUACGUGCCAGCAGCCGCGGUAAUACGUAGGUGGCAAGCGUUAUCCGGAAUUAUUGGGCGUAAAGCGCGCGUAG
This 531-nucleotide ribosomal RNA is filed under the name Staphylococcus warneri. RNAcentral's name for it is "bacterial SSU rRNA". It matches the Rfam family "Bacterial small subunit ribosomal RNA", at positions 61 to 574 of the family's 1533-position model. The record is from RNAcentral. Lineage: Bacteria; Bacillati; Bacillota; Bacilli; Caryophanales; Staphylococcaceae.